GUAAGGUGCCUAGUCGGCAUAAUUUAUGGUUAAAACUACGAUGGUAUCAGAUCAUCUUUGAUCCUCUAACUUUCAUUCUUGAUUAAUGAAGACAUCCUUGUGCAAAUGUUUUUGCAGUAGUUAGUCUUUCAAUAAAUCCAAGAAUUUCACCUCUGAUAAUUGAAUACUAAUGCUCCCAACUAUCCCUAUUAACCAUUACAUUAAUCCUCAAAAUAGAAUCUAAUGUCCUAUUUCAUUAUUCCAUGCUAAUGUAUUCAAGCGUUAACCUACUUUAAACACUAAUUUUUCAAGGUAACAGUCCAGACUUCCUGCAACACUAAAUUAAUGGCAUUACAGUUCAUCAGGAAGGAGGAUCAGUA
Molecule: unclassified non-coding RNA, 359 nt
Filed under: uncultured Rhizophagus
Lineage: Eukaryota; Fungi; Glomeromycota; Glomeromycetes; Glomerales; Glomeraceae
Description: sequence contains 18S rRNA gene
Source: RNAcentral